Molecule: non-coding RNA, 72 nt
Organism: Oncorhynchus masou masou (cherry salmon)
Lineage: Eukaryota; Metazoa; Chordata; Actinopteri; Salmoniformes; Salmonidae
Source: the annotation of a RefSeq genome assembly
GUUUCUGUAGUGUAGUGGUUAUCACGUUUGCUUAACACGCAAAAGGUCCCUGGUUCAAAACAGGCAGAAACA